CAAUAGCGUAUAUUAACGUUGUUGCAGUUAAAAAGCUCGUAGUUGGAUUUCGGAUGGGCUUGACCGGUCCGCCGUUUGGUGUGCACUGGCCGUGCCUAUCUUGCUGCCGGGGACGCGCUCCUGGCCUUAAUUGGCUGGGACGCGGAGUCGGCGAUGUUACUUUGAAAAAAUUAGAGUGUUCAAAGCAGGCCUAAGCUCUGAAUACAUUAGCAUGGAAUAACGCUAUAGGACUCUGGUCUUAUUGCGUUGGUCUUCGAGACCGGAGUAAUGAUUAAGAGGGACAGUUGGGGGCAUUCGUAUUUCAUUGUCAGAGGUGAAAUUCUUGGAUUUAUGAAAGACGAACUUCUGCGAAAGCAUUUGCCAAGGAUGUUUUCAUUAA
RNAcentral lists this ribosomal RNA (379 nucleotides) under uncultured eukaryote. RNAcentral's name for it is "partial 18S ribosomal RNA". It matches the Rfam family "Eukaryotic small subunit ribosomal RNA", at positions 592 to 976 of the family's 1831-position model. The record is from RNAcentral.